CUGGCUCAGGAUGAACGCUGGCGGCGUGCCUAAUACGAUGCAAGUCGAACGCAUUACUUCGGUAGUGAGUGGCGAACGGGUGAGUAACACGUAGGUAACUUACCUCUAAGACGAGGAUAACGACUGGAAACGGUCGCUAAAACUGGGAUAGGAUCAUUUGAGGCAUCUCGAAUGAUUUAAAGGGGCUUUCAAGCCACACUUAGAGAAAGGCCUGCGGCGCAUUAGCUAGUUGUGGGGUAGAGGCCUACCAAGGCGAUGAUGCGUAGCCGGACUGAGAGGUCGAACGGCCACAUUGGGACUGAGACACGGCCCAAACUCCUACGGGAGGCAGCAGUGGGGAAUAUUGCACAAUGGGGGAAACCCUGAUGCCAGCAACGCCGCGUGAGUGAUGACGGCCUUCGGGUUGUAAAGCUCUGUCUUCAGGGACGAUAAUGACGGUACCUGAGGAGGAAGCCACGGCUAACUACGUGCCAGCCGCGGC
Molecule: ribosomal RNA, 481 nt
Filed under: uncultured bacterium
Lineage: Bacteria
Description: bacterial SSU rRNA
Rfam family: Bacterial small subunit ribosomal RNA
Source: RNAcentral